GGAGGGGUGCUCCGAAUGGUAAGGAAGCGGUUUGCUAAACCGUAGGGGUCGAAAGGCCCCUUGUGGGUUCAAGUCCCACCCCCUCCGCCA
RNAcentral lists this transfer RNA (90 nucleotides) under Pseudomonadota bacterium. RNAcentral describes it as "tRNA-Ser". It matches the Rfam family "tRNA". From Rfam's summary of the family: Transfer RNA (tRNA) molecules are approximately 80 nucleotides in length. Their secondary structure includes four short double-helical elements and three loops (D, anti-codon, and T loops). The record is from RNAcentral. Lineage: Bacteria; Pseudomonadati; Pseudomonadota. RNAcentral also lists the same sequence under 1 other name.